CCCUGGCCUCCCGACCAACCCUGCUGCUUCCCUCGGGGCCCUGUGCGGCAUGGGCUGCCUCAGGAAUUAUGGAGUAUAUAUGCAAAUACAGACGGAAUCACAGAGUGGUCUCAGGAAAUCCCCUCACACUCAGAAUGCACUGAUCACGAUCACUGAGACCUGUGCUGCACGGCAAGCCAUGCCCUCACCACCUUGAGAUUCACCUGCUGUCUCCCUCUGUCCUAUGCCCUGGCCUUGGAAUGCCCCAGUGUCCUUUACACUGCCCACAAGGAGGGGCUGGAGGUUUCCAGUUUGCAAGGCCCAGCUGCUCCACUUCCGAUCCAGCUCUCUGCUGUGGCCUGGGAAAGCAGUGGAGGAUGGCCCAAGUGCUUGGGCCACAGUGCCUGCAUGGGAGACCCAGAAGAAGCUCCUGGCUCCUGGCUUAGGAUCAGCACAGCUCUAGCCACUGCUGCCAUCUGGGGCGUAGACCAUCAAAUGGAAGACCUCUCUCUCUCUCUCUGUCUUUCCUCUCUCUCUGUAACUCUGACUUUCAAAUAAAUGAAUAAAUCUUCAAAUU
This is a long non-coding RNA of Lepus europaeus (European hare), 556 nucleotides long. RefSeq lists it as uncharacterized. The transcript has 3 exons. The record is from RefSeq and is a predicted model, not a curated record. Lineage: Eukaryota; Metazoa; Chordata; Mammalia; Lagomorpha; Leporidae.